Molecule: ribosomal RNA, 406 nt
Filed under: uncultured bacterium
Lineage: Bacteria
Description: partial 16S ribosomal RNA
Rfam family: Bacterial small subunit ribosomal RNA
Source: RNAcentral
AUUGAACGCUGGCGGCAGGCCUAAUACAUGCAAGUCGAACGAGUGGCGGACGGGUGAGUAAUGUCUGGGAAACCGCCUGAUGGGGGGGGAUAACUACUGGAAACGGUAGCUAACACCGCAUACCAUCAGAUGUGCCCAGAUGGGAUUAGCUGGUUGGUGGGGUAACGGAUCACCGAGUCGACGAUCCCUAGCUGGUCUGAGAGGAUGACCGGCAACACUGGUACGGGGACGCGGACCAAACUCCGACGGGAGGCAGCGGUGGAGAAUAUUGCGGAGUGGGCAGUAGCGUGUAGCGGCCAUGGCGCGAGUACGAGAAGCGCCUUCGGGGUGUGGAGUACUAUCAUCGGGGAGGCGGUACCCGCAGAAGAAGCACCGGCUAACUCCGUGCCAGCAGCCGCGGUAAUUC